RNAcentral lists this ribosomal RNA (420 nucleotides) under uncultured bacterium. RNAcentral's name for it is "bacterial SSU rRNA". It matches the Rfam family "Bacterial small subunit ribosomal RNA", at positions 355 to 774 of the family's 1533-position model. The record is from RNAcentral.
UAAGGAAUAUUGCUCAAUGGGAGAAAUCCUGAAGCAGCAACGCCGCGUGGAGGAUGAAGGGUCUAUGACUUGUAAACUCCUGUAAAGAAGGAAAAAAUUCCCAUUUGAUGGGAGAUGAUGGUACUUCUGGAGUAAGCCCCGGCUAACUACGUGCCAGCAGCCGCGGUAAUACGUAGGGGGCAAGCGUUGUCCGGAUUUACUGGGUGUAAAGGGUGCUCAGGCGGAUGUGUAAGUCAGAGGUGAAAUCUUACAGCUUAACUGUGAAACUGCCUUUGAUACUGCAAGGCUAGAGUAUGGAAGAGAGUGAUGGAAUAUCUGGUGUAGCAGUGAAAUGCGUAGAUAUCAGAUAGAACACCAAUGGCGAAGGCAGUCACUUGGUCCAUUACUGACGCUAAAGCACGAAAGCGUGGGUAGCAAACA